CCAGACUCCUACGGGAGGCAGCAGUGGGGAAUAUUGCACAAUGGGGGAAACCCUGAUGCCGCGACGCCGCGUGAGUGAAGAAGUAUUUCGGUAUGUAAAGCUCUAUCAGCAGGGAAGAAAAUGACGGUACCUGAUUAAGAAGCCCCGGCUAACUACGUGCCAGCAGCCGCGGUAAUACGUAGGGGGCGAGCGUUAUCCGGAUUCACUGGGUGUAAAGGGAGCGUAGACGGCCGUGCAAGCCAGGAGUGAAAGGCCGGGGCCCCACCCCGGGACUGCUCUUGGAACUGUGCGGCUGGAGUGCGGGAGGGGCAGGCGGAAUUCCUGGUGUAGCGGUGAAAUGCGUAGAUAUUAGGAGGAACACCAGUGGCGAAGGCGGCUUACUGGACUGUAACUGACGUUGAGGCUCGAAAGCGUGGGGAGCAAACAGGAUUAGAUCCCCCAGUA
Molecule: ribosomal RNA, 444 nt
Filed under: uncultured bacterium
Lineage: Bacteria
Description: bacterial SSU rRNA
Rfam family: Bacterial small subunit ribosomal RNA
Source: RNAcentral